Long non-coding RNA from Mytilus californianus (California mussel), 3282 nucleotides. RefSeq lists it as uncharacterized. The record is from RefSeq and is a predicted model, not a curated record. The transcript has 3 exons. Lineage: Eukaryota; Metazoa; Mollusca; Bivalvia; Mytilida; Mytilidae.
UCGAGAUAACAAAAAAUCUUAAAUUUUGUCUUGGAUUUCUGAUAGCAGGAUUCCUGAUUCACUUUGCUGCUGUCGCUAUGCCUUUUUGGAAUUUCUUUGAGGAAAACGACUUGAUGGGGACAAAGUCUUUUAGACUAAUAAGUAUAGGUCUAUGGCAAGCUUGUUUUAAAAUGGGAGGCAAGUACUGGUGUCAAGGAUACACAGCGUACAGUGGGUUUACAGUAGUCCGGUUAUUUGAAUGUUUAUCAUUAGUUGGAUACGUAAUCAGUAUAUUGCUGUUAAUGGUAUAUCACCAGUUUCCAGUGUACGGCACCAGGAUAUUUAUUGCUAACAUUGCAAUAAUAGUAACAACAGUUGUGACAUCUGUGCUUGGUAUUCUAUGUUGGGCGACAGGAUGUGGAACAACUGUGCAGCAUAACUUGUCACUAUCAUUCGCGUUAGUAAUUAUUUCGCUGAUAUUCCCAAUGUUAUCUGUUUGGUUCCUUGUGAUAGAGAGAAUCACCCAAGAGGAGAACAAACGAAGGGACAGUUUAUCACACCCAGAGAAAACUAUAGAUUUAAUAUAAUAUACACAUGUGUGCAAUAAUUGUAAAUUUUAAAAUGCUUUUGAAAAGUGCUCAGUUUAUAAUUUUAUCAAUAAUCCAUUGUUGUUUUUUUUUUUUUACUUUAAACGUUUUCGUAUGACGAAAGUUUGAGAAGUAAAGAUUAAUGUAUCAACUUUUCCCUUCAUGCAUUCAGUGUAUAGUGAUAAUUGACCAAGUAUAAUCAUAUCAUAUUGACUGACAAGAAGAUCUGACAAGGUCUAACUCUGACAUUCAGUUCCUUUAAUUGUUUUCAACACCAGCAACAGUAAAAUAAUUUAAUUCAUUCAAUGAUGGGUGCGUAUGUUCAGCGACCAACAUUGCGAGCAUAUUCACGACAGUAUCGUGUGUUGCAUUAUAGAAUUUAACACACAAGAUCGGAUAGGAAAGUAUUGGUUGAUUCAUUGAUUGUUGUUUGCUUAACUUCAAAUGUCAAAUAUUUCAUGCAUAUUCCAAGCGACAACAAAACAACAAUAAAAUCAAUAGGUAGGCUCUGCAAUGUAGUUCGUGAUCAACCAGGAUGAACAGCAGGAAAUUUAGACUGUCACUGGAUAAAGAGUAAUGAUGGAAAGGAGCAGAAAUUUUGCCGUGCAACUAGCCACCGUUUAAUAAAAAGUAUUAGCCUUAAAGUUAUCUUACUAAUUUUAUUAAUACUUUUAACAAUUUUCAUUGAAAUCUUAUAAUACCUUUUGGCUUAAUAGAUGUACCAAAACAAUUUUUACAUUAACUUCUAAAACAAAAUAUACCCAGUUGUCGUGUAUAACGUACAGCAUGCUUUGAUUUCAGUUAAUACGACUUUUUGUGGGAAACCGACUCGUCUCAGAUGAAAAAAAAAAUGGCCCAAAAUAUGCCCAAAUAUAUAAAAGGCUAAGAAAAGGCUAUCAUUUCUCAUUAACAUAAAUAGCCAAUACAAUCUCUACAAUAAUGCAGUAAAAAAUAGGAAAAAAGUCAAAGUUUCUAAACAAAAAGUGCACAGUUCAGAAUCUUUUAAUUUACAAAUUUAUAAAAAUAAAUGUUAAAUUGUUAAAAAUAGGAAAAGUAACUAAGUAUAUGCAAGGGGAAGCACGAUAUCAAAAUAUUCGAAUUGUAUUACAGAAAAAUAGUGUUUCUUUCUUAACCUCUGAACAAAGAGGGAAAUUAAUCGGAAUUGUAAAUUGUUAAAAGCAGCACUUAUUGAAACCUAAAUCGCAUUGUUCUUUAUAUAUGUUUAACCCCACCACAUUCUGUAUGUAUGUGCCUGUCCAAUGUCAGGAGCCUGUAAUUCAGUCUUUGUCUCUUUGGCAAUCAUACCACAUCUUCUUUUUAUAUUAAUUCAAUGUAUAUAUAUUUUCCUUAACGUGUAUCUUCAAAUAAUUUGCUCUUUUUUAAUACCUUGUGCCUUAUACUGUAUUAUGUAAUUGAAAAAUAAAGAAAUUACAAAAAAAGUAAAUGCUGCGAAGUAGUUUACAUGAAUAAAGUUCAAAAAUAAAUAAAAAUAGUUCAACCUCCUAAUUAUAAAAUGUAUACACAAAACAUAAAUCCAUAAAGGCUGACAUAAGUAAACAGAAAAUUGUUGCCAUAUCCUCAUCCUCAAGGCGAAGAAAACAUCGUUCAUCCUAUCUGUUUUCCUUGGAAGAAAAUGUUGUAAUAUAUAAUAGCUAAUUCAAAGCAUUAUCAAAAAUAAUAUUUACGAACAGAAUAUCAAAUUCAGUCAACAUGACAACAACGGCCAUUUCUCAAUAGAAUUCAAUUAUGGAAUCUCGAUCACUAAGAUCACAUUUCUUGCACGGGUCAACAAGAGAAUCUCAUUUGUUUCUGACCUACCUUCUCAAUCUCUGAUCAUACAUUGUCACACUUUUAGCGAGCGAAAAUAAAUAUAGAAAAACGUCGUAGACUGUCCAAGAUUUUCCCCGAUCCAACCUUACUGACCAAAUCUGUCUUUACACUUGCUACUUAUAGCUGAGUGGUACUCUUAACCAAGAUCUUCGUCAGCUGACUCGAUCUUGCAAUGUUUUUGUUGUGGGAACAAAUGAUGUAUGACUUUAAAAGACAUACUGCAUACCCAGUCUUUUUACAUUCACUCUAUAGAAAGUUGGAUUCGAAUUACCACUUUUUUAUUAAAUUCUUCAACGUGGAAUCAUGCUUCUUCAAUAAAUCUCUUUAUUUGAAAUUAAAUUUAUAAAAAUAUAUUUUGACCAAUUUAUGAUAAACGAAUAUGUGUGUCCCUGCUGUUAAACUUUUUCUGAAUAAAAACAAUAUAACGUUUAUUGAAAUCCGAGACUUCACUGCAAAAACGCGAAUACCGAACCAAAUGAGAAAUAUAAAAUCCAUAAGAACCUGUAGGAACAUGUCAUUAUCAAAGAAAGGAAACGGAAAAUUACGAUAGAAACGGAAACGUCGUCCCUUCUUUCGUAAACUUAAUAAGAAAUUCGCCAUGUGAAAUUCUGAUAUCAAAGUCUAAAAAUGGAAAUCGGUUAAUAAUAAUGAUUAAUAAUAAUAAAAGAUUGUUGUGUCUAUAAAACAUAAAAUUUAUAUAAUUUUUGGUUCUUAAAAUGUUAAUCAAUACAUUAAGGUAAGAAAACUGUAUAUUGAAAACUUACGUAUUUUUAAUAUUGAAUGCACAACAAAUUAUCAAAUGUCUUUGUUUGAGGCAUUGUACUGAGAACAAGUGACUGCCAGAGACUUUUGAUUAUAUCAUACAUGAAUAUUCUUGUGUAUAUUA